Molecule: small RNA, 153 nt
Filed under: Microtus ochrogaster (prairie vole)
Lineage: Eukaryota; Metazoa; Chordata; Mammalia; Rodentia; Cricetidae
Description: 7SK RNA (ENSMOCG00000008676.1)
Rfam family: 7SK RNA
About the family: 7SK was discovered as an abundant small nuclear RNA in the mid-70s but a possible function has only recently been suggested. Two independent studies have found that 7SK RNA binds the CDK9/cyclin T complex (known as elongation factor P-TEFb).
Source: RNAcentral
GUUCUCCCAAAGCUGCGUGCUCGGUCGAAGAGGACGGCCUUCCCCGAAUAGAGGAGGACCGGUCUUCGGUCAAGGGUAUAUGAGUAGCUGCUCUCCCUUGCUAGAACCUCCAAACAAGCUCUCAAAGUUACAGUCUUAAGAGCCAGAGAUGGC